Molecule: unclassified non-coding RNA, 201 nt
Filed under: uncultured Sebacina
Lineage: Eukaryota; Fungi; Basidiomycota; Agaricomycetes; Sebacinales; Sebacinaceae
Description: sequence contains ITS2
Source: RNAcentral
GUACUCUCACACUUCUGAUCCUUUGGAUUGGGAGCGGUGGACUUGGGUGCUGCUGCUUUUCCGGUGGCUCACCUCAAAUGCCUUAGUGCAACUCUUGGUUGGACAUAGUACGGCGUGAUAAGUGUCUUCGCCGGCACCUCGUAAGAGGGUGGCUGAUCGGGAGCUCUGUGCUUUCAAACCGUCUUCGGACACUCUCUGACA